CUCCUAUUCAGACCAGGUCAUAUCCUCCUAUUCAGACCAGGUCAUAUCCUCCUAUUCAGACCAGGUCAUAUCCUCCUAUUCAGACCAGGUCACAUCAUCCUAUUCAGACCAGGUCACAUCAUCCUAUUCAGACCAGGUCACAUCAUCCUAUUCAGACCAGGUCACAUCCUCCUAUUAAGACCAGGUCACAUCCUCCUAUUCAGACCAGGUCAUAUCCUCGGUUUAUUCAGUUUUUUAACCAUUCAAUUAUACUUAUUUAUUCUUGUCACAAUGAAAAGGAAUCUGUUUUCACUAGAAAGUGUUUAUUUUGAAAAAUGUCAUUAUUUUGGCAGCAGGUAGGUAAUGCAUUAUUAUUAUUAAUGUGUGUAUGUGUGUGUGUGUGUUUGUGUGCUGUAUGUAUGAUGGAUAUCUGCAUUAUAUACCCAACCCUGUUCCUCCAUCCAUUCCCUGUCUUCUGCUGUGUCCUGAAUACACCUCACACACACACACACACACAGAUGAACAUAAAAAGAUGAAUCAUUCAACAGCCUGCAGUCUAACAGCAUGCCUGUGUGUCUGACUGCCACACACUAUAUCAUAUAGCAUAUAUUCCAAUAUUAACUCACUUUCUUUAUAUUAUCCACACAAUGAGUUACUGUAGUAGAAAGGUGAAUAUAUUUUAGAAAUGGUACAAUUCAGUCACAUCCUAAAUUCAUAUUUAGUUUUUUUUGUUGCCAUCAAAUAUUUCACUAAUGCCCAGAUGUCUUUCAAGUAUUCGUGCACACAUGUUUACAGCUGUUAACGAGAGUUAUUCAGGGUACAUUGUUAUUGUUGUUUGUGAGGGUUCUAGAACAUGUUUACAGCUGUUAAUGAGAGUUCUUCAGGGUACAUUGUUAUUGUUGUUUGUGAGGGUUCUAGAACAUGUUUACAGCUGUUAACGAGAGUUAUUCAGGGUACAUUGUUAUUGUUGUCUGUGAGGGUUCUAGAACAUGUUUACAGCUGUUAAUGAGAGUUCUUCAGGGUACAUUGUUAUUGUUGUUUGUGAGGGUUCUAGAACAUGUUUACAGCUGUUAACGAGAGUUAUUCAGGGUACAUUGUUAUUGUUGUAUGUGAGGGUUCUAGAACAUGUUUACAGCUGUUAAUGAGAGUUCUACAGGGUACAUUGUUAUUGUUGUCUGUGAGGGUUCUGGAACAUGUUUACAGCUGUUAAUGAGAGUUCUACAGGGUACAUUGUUAUUGUUGUCUGUGAGGGUUCUAGAACAUGUUUACAGCUGUUAACGAGAGUUCUUCAGGGUACAUUGUUAUUGUUGUCUGUGAGGGUUCUAGAACAUGUUUACAGCUGUUAACGAGAGUUCUACAGGGUACAUUGUUAUUGUUGUCUGUGAGGGUUCUAGAACAUGUUUACAGCUGUUAACGAGAGUUCUUCAGGGUACAUUGUUAUUGUUGUUUGUGAGGGUUCUAGAACAUGUUUACAGCUGUUAACGAGAGUUAUUCAGGGUACAUUGUUAUUGUUGUUUGUGAGGGUUCUAGAACAUGUUUACAGCUGUUAACGAGAGUUCUUCAGGGUACAUUGUUAUUGUUGUCUGUGAGGGUUCUAGAACAUGUUUACAGCUGUUAACGAGAGUUCUUCAGGGUACAUUGUUAUUGUUGUCUGUGAGGGUUCUAGAACAUGUUUACAGCUGUUAACGAGAGUUCUUCAGGGUACAUUGUUAUUGUUGUCUGUGAGGGUUCUGGAACAUGUUUACAGCUGUUAAUGAGAGUUCUACAGGGUACAUUGUUAUUGUUGUCUGUGAGGGUUCUAGAACAUGUUUACAACGAGAGUUCUACAGGGUACAUUGUUAUUGUUGUCUGUGAGGGUUCUAGAACAUGUUUACAGCUGUUAACGAGAGUUCUACAGGGUACAUUGUUAUUGUUGUUCUGUGAGGGUUCUAGAACAUGUUUACAGCUGUUAACGAGAGUUCUACAGGGUACAUUGUUAUUGUUGUCUGUGAGGGUUCUAGAACAUGUUUACAGCUGUUAACGAGAGUUCUACAGGGUACAUUGUUAUUGUUGUUUGUGAGGGUUCUAGAACAUGUUUACAGCUGUUAACAGGAGUUCUACAGGGUACAUUGUUAUUGUUGUCUGUGAGGGUUCUAGAACAUGUUUACAGCUGUUAACGAGAGUUCUUCAGGGUACAUUGUUAUUGUUGUUUGUGAGGGUUCUAGAACAUGUUUACAGCUGUUAACGAGAGUUCUACAGGGUACAUUGUUAUUGUUCUAUGUGAGGGUUCUAGAACAUGUUUACAGCUGUUAAUGAGAGUUCUACAGGGUACAUUGUUAUUGUUGUCUGUGAGGGUUCUGGAACAUGUUUACAGCUGUUAAUGAGAGUUCUACAGGGUACAUUGUUAUUGUUGUCUGUGAGGGUUCUAGAACAUGUUUACAGCUGUUAACGAGAGUUCUUCAGGGUACAUUGUUAUUGUUGUUUGUGAGGGUUCUAGAACAUGUUU
Molecule: long non-coding RNA, 2464 nt
Organism: Oncorhynchus tshawytscha (Chinook salmon)
Lineage: Eukaryota; Metazoa; Chordata; Actinopteri; Salmoniformes; Salmonidae
Source: Ensembl